GAACAAAAGGUAAGAGUCAAGGUGGAGUCUUCUUAACUUAGCAUUCUCAUGCUUAAGUUAGAGGGCGAAUAUUGGAGUGAAUAAUAAAUGCAAGGCUAUGGGAGUUCAUGAUUCUGAAGUUGGAUUCAUACUUCACCCCUCAAUGAGUUAAUAUAGCUUUGUUCCUUCAAUAAAGAGCUGCCGCCUGGCUUAUUAGUGUGUUGUAUUUGUGGAUUGGUACACGUACCGAGCAGAGUAUUGUCUCAUGUUAUACUUGUCUUGCAAUUAGGUAAUUAUUGCUUAUUCUCUUGAGGGAGUCAGUGGAGGUUUUUUUUUGAGAUCAGUAUCUGUUAUGGAUACAAUAGCCAUAUCAAAGUUUGCUUGCUCAUCGAGCCCCUUCAUAUUUGAUGUAUCCAUACGACUUGAAAUCACAUCAAAGGUGCAUAUCAAGUGUACACUAGUAGUCAAGGUUAAGAUUAUUAUGAAAGAUCAUUAAUUUAGACAUGUGUUAUUUAUAUUAAAAUUACUAAAUGUCCUUUUAAUUUAUAUUACUUAGAUCAUUUAUUUAUUGUUAUAUGUAUGACAAUAUUUGAUUCUAAUGAUUAUGUAAUAAUAUUGAUA
Molecule: unclassified non-coding RNA, 600 nt
Filed under: Hevea brasiliensis (rubber tree)
Lineage: Eukaryota; Viridiplantae; Streptophyta; Magnoliopsida; Malpighiales; Euphorbiaceae
Source: RNAcentral